Molecule: ribosomal RNA, 468 nt
Filed under: uncultured bacterium
Lineage: Bacteria
Description: partial 16S ribosomal RNA
Rfam family: Bacterial small subunit ribosomal RNA
Source: RNAcentral
GACGAACGCUGGCGGCGUGCUUAACACAUGCAAGUCGAACGGAAAGGCCCUGCUUUUGUGGGGUGCUCGAGUGGCGAACGGGUGAGUAACACGUGAGUAACCUGCCCUUGACUUUGGGAUAACUUCAGGAAACUGGGGCUAAUACCGGAUAGGAGCUCCUGCUGCAUGGUGGGGGUUGGAAAGAUUCGGCGGUUGGGGAUGGACUCGCGGCUUAUCAGCUUGUUGGUGGGGUAGUGGCUUACCAAGGCUUUGACGGGUAGCCGGCCUGAGAGGGUGACCGGCCACAUUGGGCCUGCGAUACGGCCCAGACUCCUACGGGAGGCAGCAGUGGGGAAUAUUGCACAAUGGGCGGAAGCCUGAUGCAGCAACGCCGCGUGCGGGAUGACGGCCUUCGGGUUGUAAACCGCUUUCGCCUGUGACGAAGCGUGAGUGACGGUAAUGGGUAAAGAAGCACCGGCUAACUACGUG